This 256-nucleotide ribosomal RNA is filed under the name uncultured bacterium. RNAcentral's name for it is "partial 16S ribosomal RNA". It matches the Rfam family "Bacterial small subunit ribosomal RNA", at positions 524 to 776 of the family's 1533-position model. The record is from RNAcentral.
UACGUAGGUGGCAAGCGUUGUCCGGAAUUAUUGGGCGUAAAGCGCGCGCAGGCGGUCCCUUAAGUCUGAUGUGAAAGUCCACGGCUCAACCGUGGAGGGUCAUUGGAAACUGGGGGACUUGAGUACAGAAGAGGAAAGCGGAAUUCCACGUGGUAGCGGUGAAAUGCGUAGAGAUGUGGAGGAACACCAGUGGCGAAGGCGGCUUUCUGGUCUGUAACUGACGCUGGAGGCGCGAAAAGCGUGGGGAGCAAACAGG